ACGCACGCUGGCGGCGUGCUUAACCCCUGCACGUCGCACGGAAAGGCCCUGCUUGCAGGGUACUCGAGUGGCGAACGGGUGAGUAACACGUGGGUGAUCUGCCCUGCACUUCGGGAUAAGCCUGGGAAACUGGGUCUAAUACCGGAUAGGAGCCAUUUUUAGUGUGAUGGUUGGAAAGUUUUUUCGGUGUAGGAUGAGCUCGCGGCCUAUCAGCUUGUUGGUGGGGUAAUGGCCUACCAAGGCGGCGACGGGUAGCCGGCCUGAGAGGGUGGACGGCCACAUUGGGACUGAGAUACGGCCCAGACUCCUACGGGAGGCAGCAGUGGGGAAUAUUGCACAAUGGGCGCAAGCCUGAUGCAGCGACGCCGCGUGGGGGAUGACGGCCUUCGGGUUGUAAACUCCUUUCGCUAGGGACGAAGCUUUUUGUGACGGUACCUAGAUAAGAAGCACCAGCUAACUACGUG
This 464-nucleotide ribosomal RNA is filed under the name uncultured bacterium. RNAcentral describes it as "partial 16S ribosomal RNA". It matches the Rfam family "Bacterial small subunit ribosomal RNA", at positions 29 to 507 of the family's 1533-position model. The record is from RNAcentral.